This 340-nucleotide ribosomal RNA is filed under the name uncultured bacterium. RNAcentral describes it as "bacterial SSU rRNA". It matches the Rfam family "Bacterial small subunit ribosomal RNA", at positions 30 to 352 of the family's 1533-position model. The record is from RNAcentral.
AUUGAACGCUGGCGGCAGGCCUAACACAUGCAAGUCGAGCGGAAACGAGUUAUCUGAACCUUCGGGAACGAUAACGGCGUCGAGCGGCGGACGGGUGAGUAAUGCCUAGGAAAUUGCCCUGAUGUGGGGAUAACCAUUGGAAACGAUGGCUAAUACCGCAUAAUGCCUACGGGCCAAAGGAGGGGGCCUUCGGGCCUCUCGCGUCAGGAUAUGCCUAGGUGGGAUUAGCUAGUUGGUGAGGUAAGGGCUCACCAAGGCGACGAUCCCUAGCUGGUCUGAGAGGAUGAUCAGCCACACUGGAACCUGACGACACGGGUCCAGACUCCGUACGGGAGGCAGC